AUGUUCAAGACUUUUGUUUUGACGGCCCGCUGUCUGAGACUCAAGACUUUUAUUUUUUUUGGCUUCUGUCGGAUGUUCAAGGGUUUUAUUUUGACGGGCCCGCUGUCUGAGACUCAAGGCUUUUAUUUCGACGGGUCUCUUUAUGAUGUUCAAGGCUUUUAUUUUGAUGGAUCGCUGUCUGAUGCUCAAGGCUUUUAUUUUGACGGGCCUCUGUCUGAUGGUCACGACUUUUAUUUUGACGUACCGCUGUCUGAGACUCAAGGCUUUUAUUUUGACGGGCCUCUGUCUGAUGUUCAAGGCUUUUAUUUUGAUGGAUCGCUGUCUGAUGCUCAAGGCUUUUAUUUUGACGGGCCUCUGUCUGAUGUUCAAGGCUUUUAUUUUGACGGCCCGCUGUCUGAGACUCAAGGCUUUUAUUUUUAUGGGCUUCUGUCGGAUGUUCAAGGCUUUUAUUUUGACGGCCCGCUGUCUGAGACUCAAGGCUUUUAUUUUGACGGGCCUCUGUCUGAUGUUCAAGGCUUUUAUUUUGAUGGAUCGCUGUCUGAUGCUCAAGGCUUUUAUUUUGACGGGCCUCUGUCUGAUGUUCAAGGCUUUUAUUUUGACGGGCCUCUGACUGAUGUUCAAGACUUUUAUUUUGACGGCCCGCUGUCUGAGACUCAAGGCUUUUAUUUUUAUGGGCUUCUGUCGGAUGUUCAAGGCUUUUAUUUUGACGUACCGCUGUCUGAUGCUCAAGGCUUUUAUUUUGAUGGCCCGCUGUCUGAGUCUCAAGGCUUUUAUUUUUAUGGGCUUCUGUCUGAUGUUCAAGGCUUUUAUUUUGACAGGCCGCUGUCCGAUGUUCAAGGCUUUUAUUUUGACGGGCCUUUGUCUGAUGUUCAAGGCUUUUAUUUUUAUGGGCUUCUGUCUGAUGUUCAAGGCUUUUAUUUUGACAGGCCGCUGUCCGAUGUUCAAGGCUUUUAUUUUGACGGGCCUCUGUCUGAUGUUCAAGGCUUUUAUUUUGACAGGCCGCUGUCUGAUGUUCAAGGCUCUUAUUUUGACAGGCCGCUGUCUGAUGUUCAAGGCUCUUAUUUUGACAGGCCGCUGUCUGAUGUUCAAGGCUUUUAUUUUGACAGGCCGCUUUCCGAUGUUCAAGGCUCUUAUUUUGACAGGCCGCUGUCUGAUGUUCAAGGCUUUUAUUUUGACAGGCCGCUUUCCGAUGUUCAAGGCUCUUAUUUUGACAGGCCGCUGUCUGAUGUUCAAGGCUCUUAUUUUGACAGGCCACUGUCUGAUAUUCAAGGCUUUUAUUUUGACGGGCCGCUUUCUGAGGCUCAAGGCUUUUAUUUUGACGGGCCUCUGUCUGAUGUUCAAGGCUUUUAUUUUGACGGGCCUCUGACUGAUGUUCAAGACUUUUAUUUUGACGGCCCGCUGUCUGAGACUCAAGGCUUUUAUUUUUAUGGGCUUCUGUCGGAUGUUCAAGGCUUUUAUUUUGACGUACCGCUGUCUGAUGCUCAAGGCUUUUAUUUUGAUGGCCCGCUGUCUGAGUCUCAAGGCUUUUAUUUUUAUGGGCUUCUGUCUGAUGUUCAAGGCUUUUAUUUUGACAGGCCGCUGUCCGAUGUUCAAGGCUUUUAUUUUGACGGGCCUUUGUCUGAUGUUCAAGGCUUUUAUUUUUAUGGGCUUCUGUCUGAUGUUCAAGGCUUUUAUUUUGACAGGCCGCUGUCCGAUGUUCAAGGCUUUUAUUUUGACGGGCCUCUGUCUGAUGUUCAAGGCUUUUAUUUUGACAGGCCGCUGUCUGAUGUUCAAGGCUCUUAUUUUGACAGGCCGCUGUCUGAUGUUCAAGGCUCUUAUUUUGACAGGCCGCUGUCUGAUGUUCAAGGCUUUUAUUUUGACAGGCCGCUUUCCGAUGUUCAAGGCUCUUAUUUUGACAGGCCGCUGUCUGAUGUUCAAGGCUUUUAUUUUGACAGGCCGCUUUCCGAUGUUCAAGGCUCUUAUUUUGACAGGCCGCUGUCUGAUGUUCAAGGCUCUUAUUUUGACAGGCCACUGUCUGAUAUUCAAGGCUUUUAUUUUGACGGGCCGCUUUCUGAGGCUCAAGGCUUUUAUUUUGACGGGCCUCUGGGCGAUGUUCAAGGCUUUUAUUUUGAAGGGGUGUUUGCGGAUAUCGGGCCCGUGAGCGCAGAGCAGCUUCUGUCCGUCGCGAAUUUUCGCAAAUAA
Molecule: long non-coding RNA, 2181 nt
Organism: Carassius auratus (goldfish)
Lineage: Eukaryota; Metazoa; Chordata; Actinopteri; Cypriniformes; Cyprinidae
Source: Ensembl